CGUAGGGUGCGAGCGUUAAUCGGAAUUACUGGGCGUAAAGUGUGCGCAGGUGGCUGAGCAAGUCGAGUGUGAAAUCCCCGGGCUUAACUUGGGAAUUGCGCUCGAAACUACUUGGCUCGAGUGUGGCAGAGGAAGGUGGAAUUCCAGGUGUAGCGGUGAAAUGCGUAGAGAUCUGGAGGAACACCGAUGGCGAAGGCAGCCUUCUGGGCCAACACUGACGCUCAUGCACGAAAGCGUGGGGAGCAAACAGGAUUAGAUACCCUGGUAGUCCACGCCCUGAACGAUGAUGACUAGUUGUUGGGGGAGUUAAAUCCCUUAGUAACGCAGCUAACGCGUGAAGUCAUCCGCCUGGGGAGUACGGUCGCAAGAUUA
RNAcentral lists this ribosomal RNA (372 nucleotides) under uncultured organism. RNAcentral's name for it is "bacterial SSU rRNA". It matches the Rfam family "Bacterial small subunit ribosomal RNA", at positions 526 to 896 of the family's 1533-position model. The record is from RNAcentral.